This 518-nucleotide ribosomal RNA is filed under the name uncultured bacterium. Its description in RNAcentral is "partial 16S ribosomal RNA". It matches the Rfam family "Bacterial small subunit ribosomal RNA", at positions 355 to 891 of the family's 1533-position model. The record is from RNAcentral.
UGGGGAAUAUUGGACAAUGGGGGCAACCCUGAUCCAGCCAUGCCGCGUGAGUGAUGAAGGCCUUCGGGUUGUAAAGCUCUUUUGGCGGGGACGAUGAUGACGGUACCCGCAGAAUAAGCCCCGGCUAACUUCGUGCCAGCAGCCGCGGUAAGACGAAGGGGGCUAGCGUUGUUCGGAAUUACUGGGCGUAAAGCGAGUGUAGGCGGUUGCCGUAGUCAGGUGUGAAAGCCUUGAGCUCAACUCAAGAAAUGCACUUGAUACUGGGUGACUAGAGGACCGGAGAGGAUAGUGGAAUUCCCAGUGUAGUGGUGAAAUACGUAGAGAUUGGGAAGAACACCAGUGGCGAAGGCGGCUAUCUGGACGGUUACUGACGCUAAGACUCGAAAGCGUGGGGAGCAAACAGGAUUAGAUACCCUGGUAGUCCACGCCGUAAAUGAUGGGUGCUAGACGUUGGCGAGCUUGCUCGUCAGUGUCGCAGCUAACGCGUUAAGCACCCCGCCUGGGGAGUACGGCCGCAA